RNAcentral lists this ribosomal RNA (253 nucleotides) under uncultured bacterium. RNAcentral's name for it is "partial 16S ribosomal RNA". It matches the Rfam family "Bacterial small subunit ribosomal RNA", at positions 524 to 776 of the family's 1533-position model. The record is from RNAcentral.
UACGUAGGGUGCAGGCGUUAAUCGGAAUUACUGGGCGUAAAGCGUGCGCAGGCGGUUGUGCAAGACCGAUGUGAAAUCCCCGGGCUUAACCUGGGAAUGGCAUUGGUGACUGCACGGCUAGAGUGUGUCAGAGGGGGGUAGAAUUCCACGUGUAGCAGUGAAAUGCGUAGAGAUGUGGAGGAAUACCGAUGGCGAAGGCAGCCCCCUGGGAUAACACUGACGCUCAUGCACGAAAGCGUGGGUAGCAAACAGG